GCUAAACGCGAAGAACCUUACCUGGGCUCGAAAUGCAGAUGACCAUCGGCGAAAGUCGACUUCCGCAAGGACAUCUGUAUAGGUGCUGCAUGGCUGUCGUCAGCUCGUGUCGUGAGAUGUUGGGUUAAGUCCCGCAACGAGCGCAACCCUCGUCUUUAGUUGCCAGCAUUCAGUUGGGCACUCUAGAGAGACUGCCGCGAAUAACGCGGAGGAAGGUGGGGAUGACGUCAGGUCAUCAUGGCCCUUACGGCCUGGGCUACACACGUGCUACAAUGGUCGGUACAGAGGGUUGCCAAGCCGCGAGGUGGAGCUAAUCUCACAAAACCGAUCGUAGUCCGGAUCGCAGUCUGCAACUCGACUGCGUGAAGUCGGAAUCGCUAGUAAUCGCGAAUCAGAAUGUCGCGGUGAAUACGUUCCCGGGUC
This 423-nucleotide ribosomal RNA is filed under the name uncultured bacterium. RNAcentral's name for it is "bacterial SSU rRNA". It matches the Rfam family "Bacterial small subunit ribosomal RNA", at positions 954 to 1380 of the family's 1533-position model. The record is from RNAcentral.